AUCAUUACAGUGUUGGCUGCCCUCACGGGUAGCAAACCUCACCCUUGUAUAUUAUAUCUUACAUUCUGAAAAUGUCGUCUGAGUACUAUCUAAUAGUUAAAACUUUCAACAACGGAUCUCUUGGUUCUGGCAUCGAUGAAGAACGCAGCGAAAUGCGAUAAGUAAUGUGAAUUGCAGAAUUCAGUGAAUCAUCGAAUCUUUGAACGCACAUUGCGCCCGGUGGCAUUCCGCCGGGCAUGCCUGUUCGAGCGUCAUUUAAACCAAUCCAGCCUCGUGCUUGGGUCUUGGGCCUUUCGCCUUCGGGCGGGCCUCAAAAUCAGUGGCGGUGCCGUCUGGCUCUAAGCGUAGUAAUACUCCUCGCUAUAGACGUCCGGUGGUGGCUUGCCAACAACCCCCAAUUUUAUCAGGUUGACC
RNAcentral lists this ribosomal RNA (414 nucleotides) under uncultured fungus. RNAcentral describes it as "eukaryotic LSU rRNA". The stretch from base 101 to 254 matches the Rfam family "5.8S ribosomal RNA". Lineage: Eukaryota; Fungi. The record is from RNAcentral.